Molecule: non-coding RNA, 449 nt
Organism: Chelonia mydas (Green sea turtle)
Lineage: Eukaryota; Metazoa; Chordata; Testudines; Cheloniidae
Source: the annotation of a RefSeq genome assembly
UCAGCGGGAAUAUCUGACACCAACCCGUUGUGCUAAAGCAGAGGUCAGCAGCAGUCAUGCUCUGGCUACGUUGUCUUUGCGUUGUGGCCUGGUGCAUCUUGUCAGGUUCCGAGGCCGCGAUCACUUUAACCCAGCCAAGUUCUGUCCGUGCAAAGCCAGGAAGUUCCAUCACCCUGGACUGUGUCGUGUCUGGGUAUAACAUCAAUGACCACCAUCUCCACUGGGUCCGUCAGGCUCCUGGGAAACGUCUGGUCUGGGUUACAGGCUUCAGAACAGGUUACGCCACCAUCACCGCUAAUGAAUUCAAAGGACGGGUCACCCCAUCCACCAGCGGGUCCACUGCCAGGCUAAAGAUAGACCGACUGACAGCUGCAGACACGGCCACCUACUACUGUGCACCAGAAACACAGUGCUGGCUUCCCAGCUUCCUCUCCUACAGUAACCUCUAG